GGGGAUUUAGCUCAGCGGCAUAAGCGCCUGCCUUGCAAGCAGGCAGUCGUGAGCUCGAUCCCCG
Molecule: transfer RNA, 64 nt
Organism: Cavia porcellus (domestic guinea pig)
Lineage: Eukaryota; Metazoa; Chordata; Mammalia; Rodentia; Caviidae
Rfam family: tRNA
About the family: Transfer RNA (tRNA) molecules are approximately 80 nucleotides in length.
Source: Rfam